RNAcentral lists this ribosomal RNA (380 nucleotides) under uncultured eukaryote. RNAcentral's name for it is "partial 18S ribosomal RNA". It matches the Rfam family "Eukaryotic small subunit ribosomal RNA", at positions 592 to 976 of the family's 1831-position model. The record is from RNAcentral.
CAAUAGCGUAUAUCAAAGUUGUUGCAGUUAAAAAGCUCGUAGUUGGAUUUGUGGCGUACGGUGUGUUCCGGGCACUUGUUGUCUGAGUAACCUGCUGUUGCCAUCCUUGGGUGGAACCUGUGUGGCAUUAGGUUGUCGUGCAGGGGAUGCCCAUCAUUUACUGUGAAAAAAUUAGAGUGUUCAAAGCAGGCUUAUGCCGUUGAAUAUAUUAGCAUGGAAUAAUGAGAUAGGACUUUUUUGCUAUUUUGUUGGUUUGCGCAAAGAGGUAAUGAUUAAUAGGGACAGUUGGGGGUAUUCGUAUUCCAUUGUCAGAGGUGAAAUUCUUGGAUUUUUGGAAGACGAACUACUGCGAAAGCAUUUACCAAGGAUGUUUUCAUUAA